GCGUACUGUUAUCCACUCCCUCUCAACUCCCCACUUCGUCUGCCUUCUUUCACAAUCCACUUCAUCUCCCUUCUCCACGAUCAACUUCGUUUCCCCUUCUUCUCCCUUCUUCCGUUCUUCUCCUUGUCACACAUUCUUCUCCUUGUCGCUUAUUCUUCCCCUUUGCCGCUCCAAUCUCCCAAAACAUUUUCUUUUUGGCCAUCAUUCACGGUACCAACAAAACUUGGUUGUUAGGGUUUGUGAAUUUUUUUUUUUGGAGCUUGGUAGGGUUUUUGCGAGGAUAUGAGCAAGGUUAGGGUUCAAAUUGCGCAUGGUAGGGAUGAAGAUUUCUCAUCCCUUCACGGUUAGUGAAGAGCAAGAGUCCAUUAGUCAAGGUUCGUACACCAAUAACUUAGAUGGUUGGAGUAGUUUUUCACCAUUACUGGUUUGUAAAUAGCAUCUUAUAAUAGUAAUUUUUGAUAUGGCUCAAUCUUGUUGGAAGACAUGUAAUUACACCAUAACAUAUUCAUUAUGACUGCUACUUUUCAACUUUAUAUUCAUUUUAUCUUGAUAUUUAUUGACUUUAAUUAUUAAACUUAUUCAUUAUGCAUUGUAGCAAUUAAAUAAAAUUGUGUAUGCACAAAUGUAUUAA
Molecule: long non-coding RNA, 631 nt
Organism: Cucumis melo (muskmelon)
Lineage: Eukaryota; Viridiplantae; Streptophyta; Magnoliopsida; Cucurbitales; Cucurbitaceae
Exons: 2
Source: RefSeq, a predicted model, not a curated record